RNAcentral lists this ribosomal RNA (441 nucleotides) under uncultured bacterium. Its description in RNAcentral is "partial 16S ribosomal RNA". It matches the Rfam family "Bacterial small subunit ribosomal RNA", at positions 338 to 795 of the family's 1533-position model. The record is from RNAcentral.
CCUACGGGAGGCAGCAGUGGGGAAUAUUGCACAAUGGGGGAAACCCUGAUGCAGCGACGCCGCGUGCGUGAAGAAGUAUUUCGGUAUGUAAAGCUCUAUCAGCAGGGAAGAAGAAAGACGGUACCUGACUAAUAAGCACCGGCUAACUACGUGCCAGCAGCCGCGGUAAUGCGUAGGGGGCAAGCGUUAUCCGGAUUUACUGGGUGUAAAGGGUGCGUAGACGGGUGUGCAAGUCUGAUGGGAAAGCCCAGGGCUCAAACCAGGGACUGCUUUGGAUACUGUGGAACUAGAGUGCUGGAGAGGUAAGUGGAAUUCCUAGUGUAGCGGUGAAAUGCGUAGAUAUUAGGAGGAACACCAGUGGCGAAGGCGGCUUACUGGACAGAAACUGACGUUGAGGCACGAAAGCGUGGGGAGCAAACAGGAUUAGAUACCCGUGUAGUC